This 728-nucleotide long non-coding RNA is filed under the name Heterocephalus glaber (naked mole-rat). RNAcentral describes it as "lncRNA (ENSHGLG00100047075.1)". Lineage: Eukaryota; Metazoa; Chordata; Mammalia; Rodentia; Bathyergidae. The record is from RNAcentral.
CUGGGACAUGUCUCCAGCAAAAAUUGUAAAAUACUCUACAUGGGAAAUUGGUCUCAGUGCUGGCAGCAUUCUAUAGCCUCUUCCUAGCUCUUCAGGUAUUUGUGUUUCUCCAACUAGAAGAGCCUAAAUUUUACCUCCUACUAAGAUAUUUAUCAAUUGGUGUCAGCAGUCCAGAAACAUACAAAGCAGCAAAACGAAAUUUGAGAUACAGAAAUUUCCACAGGAAUAAAAGUCGGCUGAAUACCUAGAAUGCAUUUUAAAAUAUGGGGAACUCUUGGUGUAAGAGAGUUCCACAGAGUAUUGUGGAAGAAGAGCUGAAGAAGGAUAUCUACCACUUUUUAUCAGAAGAAUACAGAAAACUGGCAAAUAAUUUUAUUUGCCUUUCAUUGGCUCAAUGUAGUCAUAUGAAUAUAUAUAAAUGUCAGACGGUCUGGUAAAUAUGGUAUUUAUUCUCUCUCUGUGGCUAGAUAAAAUUUUUAUUACUCUGUAAAGUGAAGAGAAACAGUUGGGAUGAAAAUAUACUAACAGGGCUUGGAACAAAUUUCUUUGAAUUAAUCAAAUUCUGGAAAAUGAAGGACAUUGGUAAUUAAAAAAACAAAAACAAAUGAAAAGCAGGAACAAGUAAAAGAAAUCCAUAAAAUAAGGAUGUAAAAUACAAAUGCAAUGAAAAAACAAUAGGCUUUUAGCAGAGGAGAGAUGGAGAAUAUAAGUAACUUUAUACUUCUAAA